Ictalurus punctatus (channel catfish) is the source of this 2072-nucleotide RNA transcript. RefSeq lists it as uncharacterized. The transcript has 5 exons. Lineage: Eukaryota; Metazoa; Chordata; Actinopteri; Siluriformes; Ictaluridae. The record is from RefSeq and is a predicted model, not a curated record.
GGUCGUUGAUGACGUCGAUCCGGAAGUGGCUCGGGGCGUAACGUUUGAAUUUCGACCGUUAGUUUUACAAGCAACCAAACAAAAAUAUAAAACAGUUAAUUAGCUCAGUUCGAUCCGUUCAUUUUACCAGAGAAAUAUAAUUUACGGAGGGGGGCAGUUAAUGCGUGAUGUGUAGUAAAGAAACGUCUCGUGUGCAACGCCAAAAAGUAACGAAGGCGAAAUUAAAAACAAAGAUGGUUGUUAGUAAAGCUUUUCUGGCGUUGCCAGUUAGAAAAAGUCCCGAAAUUUCUGUGACCUGCUUAUCAAGAAAGACACAUCUAAAGUUUAGUUCUUCAUUAAAAUUAAAGGAGAAGUCUCUGGGUGCUACACUGGGCUUAACUCAGCACAAGGUACAACAGAGCAGAGAGACCUCUGUCUAUACACAAGAUGCAGAGCCCUAUCUUUUUGAUGAUGAAGAAAACGAAGAAGGUCCAUUGAAUAAUGCCCCAGGAGGUAGAAAGGAGAAAGGAACUCAGUGUGAAGUGAAGCAGAGUGUGCUGAGGACAAUAUCCAGGAUGCUGCAGGAGAACAGGAUCAUCAGAAAGCAGUGGAACAGGUUAUCUCAGGUAAAAGGUGCUACAGUUCAUGCUGUGAGCAGCUAUGUAGAUUUGGCAUCGCUUGAUGAACUUGGAGUUGAGGAGACCAUCCCAUGUUCCCGAGAAGGAAUUCUGAGUUAAAGGGGCUUUUUCAUUGUUUUUUCCUGGUUGGAGGUUGGGAAUUACAAGUUACAACCUCUAGUCAAUUGCAGCAUUAGCCUUUGCUUCAUCUCUGCCUAAAGAGAACGAUGCAGCAGCGCUUUAAUCCUUUAGUCUGUCAGCUCUCUCACAUCGGUAGGGUUGCUCAGCAAUGGCAAGACAAAUGCUAUGUUGAUGGUGCCUUGUAAGUGGUAAUUUGCAAGUUGUAAUAACAUCAUUUCCCACUUCGGCAUAUAUUUUGUUUGCUUUGGCAGAGCACUUAAAGCUCAUAAAAAGAUACUUUAACCCCACUGUGACAGUCACAGGCCUAGGUGGUUAAUGGUAGUUUUCUACUAUAGUGAACUUUAAACAUUCAUGCAACAUUUUGGACUGAAAUUUCAGUAUAGCAACAACAGAGGACAAUAGCAAGUAGCAACAUCAACAAGCUAGCCAACUAAUGCUAGUGAUAAUUUAAUGGUGAUUAUUACUUUCUCAAAACAGUGAUUAGUUUGGCCGAUGUUACAGAUUUAGCCAAGUACUGUGUCUGUAUAUUAAUUGAUUUAAAGCCAAUAAUAAACUAAUUUAAAAGUAGAGAAGGAGCUGUUGCUGGUCAUUCUUCACUGUUCACACUGUGCAUGACCAUGUUGAUUUGGUGUCACUGAAUAAACAGGGAGGAACUUAUAGUUUAGAAGACUAUGAUAAGUUGCAGUUGAGGGGGCAUUUUUUGUGGAUUUUACAUUUACAUUUAUUCACUUAGCAGACGCUUUUAUCCAAAGUGACUUACAAAUGAGAAUUUUACCAGUUGUAGGUGGGGAAUUACAAGGUGCAACAUGGCCUUGAAUGCAGCAAAAGCUUCCUAAAGCCUUGAAAUUUUCCACCCAACUGUGUUGAUAAGUUGUUCCUUUUUUGAGGCUUCAGAUGUCUAAUAGAGGCCUCUAGUGGUCAAAAGAAUAUAGGCCUGAGUACCUUGUGAAACAUUUUAAAAGACUGCAUGUGUAAAUUCUGAACCAGCAAGAGCGAAAAAGGAAGAAAUUCUUGAAUAAUGUAUGACUUUUUAUUAUUAUUAAUCAUUGCCUAGAAAUGAACUUUAAAUAAUAAUGUGAGCAGAAAUCUCUUCAUAGAGCUUAUAUUGUGAUGGCUCUGGGCUUCUCAUCAGAAGACUGUGAGUUUGAAUCCUGGUACUGCCAAUCUGCCACUGUUGGGUCUUUGAGCAUGACCUUUGGAUAAAAGCGCCCGCUAAAUAACUUAAAUGUAAAUAAUACUACUCGGUCAUGCCAAAAGUAUGGGGACACCUGACCAUCACACACAUAUUUGGUUAUUCCCCAAACUUACAGAGUUGGAAGCACACAAUUGUACAGA